Molecule: signal recognition particle RNA, 266 nt
Filed under: Desulfuribacillus alkaliarsenatis
Lineage: Bacteria; Bacillati; Bacillota; Desulfuribacillia; Desulfuribacillales; Desulfuribacillaceae
Description: low GC Gram-positive bacterium strain AHT28 Bacterial large signal recognition particle RNA
Rfam family: Bacterial large signal recognition particle RNA
About the family: The signal recognition particle (SRP) is a universally conserved ribonucleoprotein involved in the co-translational targeting of proteins to membranes. Archaeal SRP consists of a 7S RNA and homologues of the eukaryotic SRP19 and SRP54 proteins.
Source: Rfam by way of RNAcentral
UCGUGCUAGAUGGGGAGGUAGCGGUGCCCUGUAACCCGCAAUCCGCUAUAGCGGGAUUGAUGCCUGCUCUGAGGUGCUAUUACGUGUAGUCUGACCCAUGUAAGUGGCGUUGACGACUGGGUCUUGUGCAACGGAAACUCGUGAACCCCGUCAGGUCCGGAAGGAAGCAGCGGUAAGUGAAUCUUUUCGUGUGCCGCAGGGUAGCCUGGUCUGAGUUAACUGCAUGGGUAACGUACGGGUGAUAGUCAUCGAAGGCAGGUGCACGA